RNAcentral lists this ribosomal RNA (483 nucleotides) under uncultured bacterium. RNAcentral describes it as "partial 16S ribosomal RNA". It matches the Rfam family "Bacterial small subunit ribosomal RNA", at positions 28 to 507 of the family's 1533-position model. The record is from RNAcentral.
GACGAACGCUGGCGGCGUGCUUAACACAUGCAAGUCGAACGCUGAAGCUCAGCUUUUGUUGGGUGGAUGAGUGGCGAACGGGUGAGUAACACGUGAGUAACCUGCCCCCUUCUUUGGGAUAACGCCCGGAAACGGGUGCUAAUACUGGAUAUUCACUGGUCUUCGCAUGGGGGUUGGUGGAAAGGGUUUUUCUGGUGGGGGAUGGGCUCGCGGCCUAUCAGCUUGUUGGUGGGGUGAUGGCCUACCAAGGCUUUGACGGGUAGCCGGCCUGAGAGGGUGACCGGUCGCAUUGGGACUGAGAUACGGCCCAGAAUACUACGGGAGGCAGCAGUGGGGAAUAUUGCAGAAUGGGCGCAAGCCUGAUGCAGCGACGCCGCGUGAGGGAUGGAGGCCUUCGGGUUGUGAACCUCUUUCGCUCAUGGUCAAGCCGCAACAAUGGUUGUGGUGAGGGUAGUGGGUAAAGAAGCGCCGGCUAACUACGUG